GUUUAUUCUUGGGACCUUUGCGCUAAGCGAAAAAUACAACGCCUUGAAAACUUUCCUCAAGGGGUUUCUUCUCUUGCAUUUACUGGAAACGGAGAUGUUUUGGCUGUUUCUUCUUCAUAUACUUUUGAAGAAGGAGAAAAAGA
Long non-coding RNA from Zophobas morio, 143 nucleotides. RefSeq lists it as uncharacterized. NCBI's taxonomy places the organism in Eukaryota, Metazoa, Arthropoda, Insecta, Coleoptera, Tenebrionidae. The record is from RefSeq and is a predicted model, not a curated record. The transcript is spliced from 2 exons.